CCUCCGAACAUGCCCACGUAGAUUAUUUUUAUAAACCAGAUUAUAUAAUCUAUCUUCAUAAUCCAGAUUAUCAUGUUAAACUUCAAAUGUUCCUGGCCUUUCUUAUUGUUCAUGUUUGCUAUUAUAACUGUACUGAAAGAUUUGGUGGAAGAUGGAUUGGUUCCGUGCAUCCAAAGACGAUGCAGGCUGCAGUUUAUAUAAUCAAGACUACAUUAGGAGUUGUUACAAUCUCGACAACGCACGUACACAUCUGUACUUAUCUAUACGACGUACUAGGCUUUAUGGUUAGGAGGUUAGGAUAUGCACCGUAUCGCUAACAUGUACUACUAACACCAAUAAUCCGCCAUGUGGGUUAGUAAUCAAAUAACUCCUUUGUGUAAUCCGUGGAUAUCGUGGUUAUCUAAACACUGAAAUUCCAAAGUUGAGGCUUAGUAUGUGUACACAAGACAUCAUCAAGGCAGGGGUUCAAAUCUCUUCAGAAGUUUAACAAGACAUCAUCAAAGCAAGGGUUCAGAUCUCUUCAGAAGUUUAACAAGACAUCAUCAAGCCAGGAGUUCAAAUCUCUUCAGAAGUUUAACAAGACAUCAUCAAAGCAGGGGUUCAAAUCUCUUUAGAAGUUUAACAAGACAUCAUCAAGGCAGGUGUUCAAGGGGCAGCGUUGGGAAUGCUUUGGCGUUGGCAAUGCUGAUUCAUACAAAGAAGGAGAUUGCUGGCACCUGCUAUUCUGGACCGGAAAAGAUCAUAGAAGAGUUGGAUAUUCUCUAGAACUCCAAAUGACCUAAAUUUACGAAGAAUUGUUUGGAACAUAUAAAAAUUAUUGGCAAAAGAAAUACCAGAAGGGGACCCACCAGUAGGCCACAAGCUCAGGGGCGCUCGCGCCCUACCCCCAGGGUGUGCCCCUGAGCCCGUGGGCCCCCGACAGGCCUCUGAUGUCCAUCUUGUACUGUAUUAGGCCAUUUGCCCUAUAAAAAAAAUCAAAGGAUUACUUUCGGGAGAAGCGGGACCGUCUCAAGGUGGAGCUAGGGCGGGAACAUUUUUGCCCUCAGGCGGAGCGAUUUCGCCGGGAAACAUCCCUCCGAGAAAAGGAAAUCAAGGACAUCUUCAUCAUCAACGCUUCCUCCAUUGUGGGAGGACCAAUCUUCAUCACCAUCUUCACCAGCACCAUCUCAUCUCAAGCUCUUGUUCAUGUCUUGUAUUUAAUCUUUGUCUCCAAAUGUCAGAUUGUUACCUGUGGGUCGCUAGUAGUGUUGAUUACGUCUCGUAGUUGAUGCUAGUUGGUUUAAUUGGUGAAAGAUUAUAUCUUCAGAUCUUGAAGCAUAUUCAUUACACCACUGUUCUUUUAACAUGGUGAUGAUUUGUGAGUAGUUACUUUAAUUCUUGAGGAAAUGCGAGAAAUCUUGUUAUAAAUAAUCAUCUAAAGUUGGUAAUUCGUUUGAUA
Long non-coding RNA from Hordeum vulgare subsp. vulgare (domesticated barley), 1438 nucleotides. RefSeq lists it as uncharacterized. NCBI's taxonomy places the organism in Eukaryota, Viridiplantae, Streptophyta, Magnoliopsida, Poales, Poaceae. The transcript is spliced from 2 exons. The record is from RefSeq and is a predicted model, not a curated record.